ACAGUAAGGAAACCCAGGGACAACUGUGAUUCUGCAGAGACACCCCUGAGGAUAACAGGACUCUCAGGGAUCAAAAACCCUGAGCUGUCAAAUAUCCAGAUGAGCUCCCCAGUUCCAGGAAUGAGGCGGCUGUUGCAAUUCAUCUGGAUGGAGGCAGAAAAUUGAAAGAGCACAUGGACAUUGUACAGUCUGUCCACGAAGGAAACUCUCACCUGCAAAUUGAGAAGAUUGCUGGCUGCACAACAGGUGUUUUAAAGCCAACUCACACAUCUCCAGCUCUGCGAUAUCAUAAUGGUGACCAGCAGGACUGGGACUCGGAUUCCUUGCUGCAGCCUUCUUGCAAGCAUCAAACCUCUUCUCUUCUCCGAACUUUCUCAUCUGACUUGGCACCAAAUAACUUUGCAGUGCAGAGAAGAUUGUGGUGCAAUCAGAUCGUGGAUUCAGGCAGAUGAGCAGGCUGAAACAGUACACACUGCCCUAUGUGCCCCUGAGCUGAGCUUGAUGGAGAGAUGGAUGWGCCCAGGAACAGUGAAGGUAAAAGUUCUCCAGCCUUGACCAGUGACGUGUUUGUAUGUUUGUUGGGUGAAUGUAUUGGAAUUAUCAAAGGAAAAAAGAAAGGCGAAUUCAAAAAAGAAAUUAGGUAAACCUCAUGCCAAUGAUAAUGAAAGGAUUAUAUAAAAAGAAGAUACUGGGGAAGAUGGUGGAAGUGAACCAGAAGAAUUUCUUUCAGGCAACCCACCUUGUUUUAUUUCUCAAAGUGGGAGAAGUCAAAUUAGAGCAGGAAGUUAAAAAAUAAAUGGAACUCAAUCAAAAAGAGCA
This 819-nucleotide long non-coding RNA is filed under the name Apteryx owenii (little spotted kiwi). RNAcentral's name for it is "lncRNA (ENSAOWG00000008987.1)". Lineage: Eukaryota; Metazoa; Chordata; Aves; Apterygiformes; Apterygidae. The record is from RNAcentral.